This is a non-coding RNA of Erpetoichthys calabaricus (reedfish), 398 nucleotides long. Lineage: Eukaryota; Metazoa; Chordata; Cladistia; Polypteriformes; Polypteridae. The record is from the annotation of a RefSeq genome assembly.
CCCACUACUGUUCAUAAGCCUGAAACAUGAGUCCAGCUGCUCAUCUCAUUGUGACCCUACUUCUCUGGGCUGGAGGAAGCAGGGGGGAUAUCAUUGUCAAUCAGUCCCCAAACUUUCUGACAGCUGCUCCUGGCAGCACUGUGUCCAUCUCUUGUAAAACAGAGACAGCCAUUGAUGAUGAUAUGGCUUUGUAUCAUCAAGUACCUGGACAAGCUCCCAAAUCUCUGAUUUAUGAUGUAUCCAAACGUUUCUCUGGGGUAUCGGACAGGUUUUCAGGGUCAGGAUAUGAUCAUGACUUCACUUUCAAAAUCUCCAAUGUCCAGCCAGAAGAUGCUGGAGUUUAUUACUGCCAGCAAUAUGAAGCUUACCCUCUCACACAGUGAUACAGAGCCAUACAA